CAGGUAGGGUUUUCUAAUUCGACAUUCUCCUCAUUUCGCCUCCAUAUAUCCUCUGAGAGAGUUUAUCAACUAAGUCGUCUGUCUUCUUCAUCCGAGGAUCAUCAGUUCCCCUUUUGGGUAGUGGUUUAUUAAUGAGCAAAGAAUCAACUCACAAAGGAGGCGUAUGAACUUUCUCUCAGAUUUCCUCUACCAACUUCAUCUAUGUUGCACUUCAUCCAUCCUUGCUCUAGUAAUUUCAUUCAUCCUUACUCUGGUGUCUGGAGCCAUAUUGGAGUUCCGAUUAAAUUCAGAUCGCGUACUGUUGGGUCAUUUGAGGGUGGCGCUCCUAACAUAAUUUUCUCCAUACCUAGAGCUCGAACUCAAAGCCUCUGAUUAAAGGUUGUAUAAACAAGUCAUUAAGCUAAUGGCUCUAAUAUUUGUUUUAAUUCACCUAAUUCUUUCUUUGGGUGCAUUUAAAUUGAGGUGAGAUUAGUUUAUAAAAAAUCAAAAAGGAAAAAAUAAAA
Solanum lycopersicum (tomato) is the source of this 503-nucleotide long non-coding RNA. RefSeq lists it as uncharacterized. Lineage: Eukaryota; Viridiplantae; Streptophyta; Magnoliopsida; Solanales; Solanaceae. The record is from RefSeq and is a predicted model, not a curated record.